RNAcentral lists this long non-coding RNA (893 nucleotides) under Homo sapiens (human). Its description in RNAcentral is "non-protein coding DAB1-AS1:14". The record is from RNAcentral. Lineage: Eukaryota; Metazoa; Chordata; Mammalia; Primates; Hominidae.
GGAGCUGGUAAUCAGGAUGGCAGUGAGGCAGGCACUUGCUUGCAGAAGAACAGGCCUAGUUUUUUAAGAAGCCACAAAAGUGUCUUUGGAUGAUUAGGAUCUAAGGGGCCAACAGCUUUGCAAUAACAGCAUAAAUAUUGUGGGCUGGAUGGACAGGCACCAAAUGGGGACAUUCCAUCCUGCUGUGUGAUGAGAAAGCUGCCACUUUUGAGGCCUUCCAAAACAAAUCAACACUCCAUAUGCCAGAAGGAAAAGCCCAGGAAAGACCUAUUCCAACUGGAGAUGGAAUACGAAGGGAGAAUGAAACAAAACUGCUCCGCUUAGGGAACUUGGAAAGGAAAUUGAAAAGGCAAGGCACAGGCUGGAAGAAAAUAUUUGAAAAAGAUUUAUGUGAACUUCUUUCUGGAUUAUACAAAAUAUUUUUAGAUAUUCUUACAACUCUAAAAUAAGAUAACUCCUUAAAAAUCUAAAUUCUACCAAAGGAGAGAUAAAGAUGACGAAUACAUUCAAAGAUGCUGAAAAUCACUUAUUUAUUAUUAGGAAGUUACAAGCUAAAGCAUAAUGAGAUACCACUACAACCUACUAAACUGACUAAAAUUAAUCAGACUAACCAGGUGUUGGCAAGAAACAGGGACACUGAGACUCUCACACUGCUGGAAGGAAUGUAAAAUGCUAAAACUUCUUUGGAAAUGAGUUCAGUAACUUUUUAAACAGUUGAAAAUAGACCUAUCAUGCAAACCAGCAAUCCCACUUCCAGGUAUUUAUACAAGGAAAAUGACAACAUAUGCCCACAUAAAGACUUGUGCACAAAUGACCGUAGCAGCUUUGUGAUAAUUGCUAAAAACUAGAAACUUGUCAAGUGUCCAACAGGUGAGUGGACAAACUCACUAUAG